This 464-nucleotide ribosomal RNA is filed under the name uncultured Mycobacterium sp. Its description in RNAcentral is "bacterial SSU rRNA". It matches the Rfam family "Bacterial small subunit ribosomal RNA", at positions 107 to 585 of the family's 1533-position model. Lineage: Bacteria; Bacillati; Actinomycetota; Actinomycetes; Mycobacteriales; Mycobacteriaceae. The record is from RNAcentral.
UGAGUAACACGUGGGUGAUCUGCCCUGCACUUUGGGAUAAGCCUGGGAAACUGGGUCUAAUACCGAAUAUGAUCAUGGCCUGCAUGGGUUGUGGUGGAAAGCUUUUGCGGUGUGGGAUGGGCCCGCGGCCUAUCAGCUUGUUGGUGGGGUAAUGGCCUACCAAGGCGACGACGGGUAGCCGGCCUGAGAGGGUGACCGGCCACACUGGGACUGAGAUACGGCCCAGACUCCUACGGGAGGCAGCAGUGGGGAAUAUUGCACAAUGGGCGCAAGCCUGAUGCAGCGACGCCGCGUGAGGGAUGACGGCCUUCGGGUUGUAAACCUCUUUCAGUAGGGACGAAGCGCAAGUGACGGUACCUAUAGAAGAAGGACCGGCCAACUACGUGCCAGCAGCCGCGGUAAUACGUAGGGUCCGAGCGUUGUCCGGAAUUACUGGGCGUAAAGAGCUCGUAGGUGGUUUGUCG